This 1105-nucleotide ribosomal RNA is filed under the name Staphylococcus aureus. RNAcentral describes it as "partial 23S ribosomal RNA". It matches the Rfam family "Bacterial large subunit ribosomal RNA", at positions 339 to 1452 of the family's 2925-position model. Lineage: Bacteria; Bacillati; Bacillota; Bacilli; Caryophanales; Staphylococcaceae. The record is from RNAcentral.
CAUCUGGAAAGAUGAAUCAAAGAAGGUAAUAAUCCUGUAGUCGAAAAUGUUGUCUCUCUUGAGUGGAUCCUGAGUACGACGGAGCACGUGAAAUUCCGUCGGAAUCUGGGAGGACCAUCUCCUAAGGCUAAAUACUCUCUAGUGACCGAUAGUGAACCAGUACCGUGAGGGAAAGGUGAAAAGCACCCCGGAAGGGGAGUGAAAUAGAACCUGAAACCGUGUGCUUACAAGUAGUCAGAGCCCGUUAAUGGGUGAUGGCGUGCCUUUUGUAGAAUGAACCGGCGAGUUACGAUUUGAUGCAAGGUUAAGCAGUAAAUGUGGAGCCGUAGCGAAAGCGAGUCUGAAUAGGGCGUUUAGUAUUUGGUCGUAGACCCGAAACCAGGUGAUCUACCCUUGGUCAGGUUGAAGUUCAGGUAACACUGAAUGGAGGACCGAACCGACUUACGUUGAAAAGUGAGCGGAUGAACUGAGGGUAGCGGAGAAAUUCCAAUCGAACCUGGAGAUAGCUGGUUCUCUCCGAAAUAGCUUUAGGGCUAGCCUCAAGUGAUGAUUAUUGGAGGUAGAGCACUGUUUGGACGAGGGGCCCCUCUCGGGUUACCGAAUUCAGACAAACUCCGAAUGCCAAUUAAUUUAACUUGGGAGUCAGAACAUGGGUGAUAAGGUCCGUGUUCGAAAGGGAAACAGCCCAGACCACCAGCUAAGGUCCCAAAAUAUAUGUUAAGUGGAAAAGGAUGUGGCGUUGCCCAGACAACUAGGAUGUUGGCUUAGAAGCAGCCAUCAUUUAAAGAGUGCGUAAUAGCUCACUAGUCGAGUGACACUGCGCCGAAAAUGUACCGGGGCUAAACAUAUUACCGAAGCUGUGGAUUGUCCUUUGGACAAUGGUAGGAGAGCGUUCUAAGGGCGUUGAAGCAUGAUCGUAAGGACAUGUGGAGCGCUUAGAAGUGAGAAUGCCGGUGUGAGUAGCGAAAGACGGGUGAGAAUCCCGUCCACCGAUUGACUAAGGUUUCCAGAGGAAGGCUCGUCCGCUCUGGGUUAGUCGGGUCCUAAGCUGAGGCCGACAGGCGUAGGCGAUGGAUAACAGGUUGAUAUUCCUGUACCACCUAUA